Sinocyclocheilus rhinocerous is the source of this 813-nucleotide long non-coding RNA. RefSeq lists it as uncharacterized. NCBI's taxonomy places the organism in Eukaryota, Metazoa, Chordata, Actinopteri, Cypriniformes, Cyprinidae. The transcript has 3 exons. The record is from RefSeq and is a predicted model, not a curated record.
GCAGAAGAAAGAAAAACAUCUCGGAAGGCAUGAGGAACAACCUCCUGAACAGUAACUAGUCUGGUUUUAAAAGUGGCCACUGAGCUAAGACUGCCCUACUCUUAGUUAUUAAAGCUCUGUGACUGGCAAGAGCAGCUUCUAAGUCAUCUGUACUCAUUUUGCUGGAUCUGUCUGCGGCUUUUGGCACAGUUAUCCACCUGAUUGUCCUGUCAACCCUCUUGACAAAGCGUGUCUCAGGAACUGCACUCCAGUGGUUCAAGUCUUAACUCUCAGGUGGUGCUUUGGGAGGUGCCGUGGGAUGGUGGAUGACUAGUGGCAAAUUCCGUCCUCUUCAUCAGAUCAUAAUGGAGAUGACUCCUGAAGAGAAGAUGGAACUGUACUCUGAGGUCAUGGAAGAACUGGGCAAUCUGGCAUGGGAUAACGUGGCUGGACUCAUUUAGUCAGUGAUGCGUAAAUCCUCUCUAAAAAUGAAAAUACUUAGUAUUAUAAUCUCUUUUGCCACAAAACAGCUCAAAGUCAAAAUAGCAUCUUAAUUUCACCUGCUUAGUCUAAGCCAAGUUUGACUAUCUGAGGAGCUUUUUAGUUUAGGUUUUGUUAUUGUUUCUGAAAGAUAUGUUUUACUUUAAUUUUUCUGAAUUAUAAACAUGUGUAGCAGCCCUUCAGUGUCGAACAAAGGAGGCAGAGGGUUUUGACGGGUGCCUUCGAUUUAUUUACUCAGAUGCAAUAAACUUCAUUGCUGAAGUAUUCGUUGUCUCAGUUUUUUUGUUGCAAAUUAUCUCCAUUACAUCACAACACUGUGUUCACCCAGUGAUU